UAGUCCAAACUGGCGAAAAAGUGCGUUUUAGGGUCAGUUUUUGCGGUUUUCAAAAAAAAAAUUUCACUACUUCUAGUUGUCCUAUAAGAAUAAAAAUUAUAUGUCAAUAAAGUUUAAGUCUUUAUCUGUCGUAAUCUGGUAUUUUUAUAUCUGUAACACAUGUCUGAAUGUGUUUUAUAUUUGUUUGAAAAGUAUCAGUUACGUCAACAAAUUUCACCGUUUUGCGUGUACCGAUCGACCCCACACUGUUUUAUUUGGUCGCGGCUUCGCGACGAAGCAUCGUAGAAGCAUAAUCUUAAUGUCAUUUUAAAGAUCGAAUUCUAGGCUAUCGUUUGAUGUAUAAAUUGAAAAAAUAACUUGUUUAUUUCAUUUAAAAAAUACAGAUUUUAAACUUUAAAUGACGAUAUAUACACGGAAACAAACUAAUUCUGUUUCAAUUUUUACACCGAUGUAAAGUUCAGUUUUAUAACUACUUUGUGUUGUAAAUUCAAGUAUUUCUGAUUUACGGUCGCGAAGCCGUACCCCCAAUAAACAUAUAACCCUCGAGUCGACUUUCAGCCCCGAGUAAGUUGCUCGCCGAACGGUUUUAAAGGUUGACGACCGAUGAUGCUAAACGGAUUUUACCCUUGCUAGAGCCUUCAAACAAGUUCUGGAGACAUUUACAGUGGCCUAUCCAGAACUUUCCUUACAAGGGAAGGGAAGAAGGCCAAGACCCCACUCCCCCCUACAAUUCCCAAAACAUAUUACUUACUCUUGAUGCUCCACAAGAUCAAGGUUGAGGGAAACAAGACGUACAAAGAUGUGGAGUUGUAGUUUUAAAAACUGUUCCCCCAAAGCAGUUAUCAACCGUAUAGGUUUGAAAAGAAACCAAAGCAUGUGGCAUCAACUGCUGCAUCACUUGUAGG
This is a long non-coding RNA of Physella acuta, 905 nucleotides long. RefSeq lists it as uncharacterized. The record is from RefSeq and is a predicted model, not a curated record. NCBI's taxonomy places the organism in Eukaryota, Metazoa, Mollusca, Gastropoda, Physidae.